This 445-nucleotide ribosomal RNA is filed under the name uncultured bacterium. Its description in RNAcentral is "partial 16S ribosomal RNA". It matches the Rfam family "Bacterial small subunit ribosomal RNA", at positions 331 to 792 of the family's 1533-position model. The record is from RNAcentral.
CCAGACUCCUACGGGAGGCAGCAGUGGGGGAUAUUGCACAAUGGGGGGAACCCUGAUGCAGCGACGCCGCGUGGGUGAAGGAGUAUUUCGGUAUGUAAAGCCCUAUCGGCAGGGAAGAAGCAAGACGGUACCUGACUAAGAAGCCCCGGCUAACUACGUGCCAGCAGCCGCGGUAAUACGUAGGGGGCGAGCGUUAUCCGGAUUCACUGGGUGUAAAGGGAGCGUAGACGGCCAAGCAAGCCAGGGGUGAAAGCCCGGGGCCCAACCCCGGAACUGCUCUGGAAACUGUGCGGCUAGAGUACUGGAGGGGCAGGCGGAAUUCCUAGUGUAGCGGUGAAAUGCGUAGAUAUUAGGAGGAACACCAGUGGCGAAGGCGGCCUGCUGGACAGUAACUGACGUUGAGGCUCGAAAGCGUGGGGAGCAAACAGGAUUAGAUCCCCUAGUA